UUGAUACUGUUUUUCUUGAAUAAACUAUAAAGAAUUUUGCUUGAGGACAAACAAAGAUUUAAGUGUAGGAGAAUUUGAUCACACUGAAUCACACCGUAUUUUUGACUCGGAUUUCACAUGUUUAUUAGGACUUUAUUAUCAUUUUGUUUGUAUUAUGCUCUCUUUUAUGUUGUUUUCAGAUAUUUAGCUCUUUCGGGACCCUUUUAGAAGAAACGAAACAAAAAAAUCAAAAAUGAGGGUUUUUCGGCAAAUAUUAUACACAUGGCGUUGCACAUGGCGGCCGCUAUAGGAGAAGCCAUGACUCAUCAGCCCUCAACCAGGGGGUAAUCCGUCACAUCGGGGGGUUAUCUCACUUUAGUGAGAUUGAGACGGUAUGUACGCUCUUGUCAUGAAUAGAUCAAAAUGAGUCUUGAGGUCAUCACAGGGAGAGCCAGCCGUUGAGGUUACAAAUGAAGGUGUUGAUGCUGCAGGGCAUACAAUUGGUACAUCUUUGGAGGUUGUGUUCAAACUUAGGAAGGUUCUCAACCCCAAGAGUGUGAUCAAACCAACAUCACUAGGUAAAGAUUAUUUUGAAUCCAUAACUAACUUGAUCGUCCGAUACUUUGUAGGUACCACACCUUUGCUAUGACCAUGUCAGUCUUGAGGUCCUUAGAGGGAUUUGUCAUUGUCUCAGCUUUACUCGAUACAACAUUGCUACAGUUCAUUUAAAAUUAUCCAUCUCCUUCUGCAAUCUAUAAGAAAAAUUGCACGGUUGACUUAAUAUAUCCUUGUUAUGGUUUUAUGGACAAUCUUUCUCAAUUAUUAUUAUUUGAUUGUGCAAUUGUGAAGUUGUUAUGAUCUGCUUGUGAUUAGUAUGUUCUUUUAUUUACCAAAAUUAUUUUGAAUUCAUAACUAACUUGAUCGUCGGAGUUUUUGCAGGUACCACACCUUUGGUAUGUCAUGCUAUGCUCAUGAGUAUGAUGAAACAGAAAGGAAAUGCAACAACUUGAAAUUUCCAGUGCCUUGUUCUGGUCAUUGCUAUCCAUAUGUGGGAUUUGUCAUUGUCUCAGCUUUACUCGAUACAACAUUGCUACAGUUCAUUUAAAAUUAUCCAUCUCCUUCUGCAAUCUAUAAGAAAAAUUGCACGGUACCACACCUUUGCCGUGUCAUGCUAUGUUCAUGAGUAUGAUGAAACAGAAAGGAAAUGGUAGGAAGUUUGGUUUGCUGUGAUCGGUUCCAUGAGAUUUAGAAAGUGAUGCAGGGACGCCUUUGAUCAUGCUCAACAAGCUGCUAGAGUGUUCAAGAACAGAAGCAGCCUGCGGUCUACCCUAUUGGAAGCACCAUCCGUUCCUCAACCCAACUACGAGUGGAUGAGUGUCAUUGACUCGAGGGCUUGCUGGAACAUUGGAAAUGGGCAGAGGGUGAAAAUGUUGGGUGACAACUGGUUCCUGGGUCAGGCGGAGUUUGAAGUGUGGAGUCAUGCCUCAACCCUAGUGAUUCGGUUGAUCGAAGAUGACGCAAACAGUG
This is a long non-coding RNA of Lathyrus oleraceus (garden pea), 1506 nucleotides long. RefSeq lists it as uncharacterized. The record is from RefSeq and is a predicted model, not a curated record. The transcript has 6 exons. Lineage: Eukaryota; Viridiplantae; Streptophyta; Magnoliopsida; Fabales; Fabaceae.